GUAGGUGGCAAGCGUUGUCCGGAAUUAUUGGGCGUAAAGCGCGCGCAGGCGGUUCUUUAAGUCUGAUGUGAAAGCCCGCGGCUCAACCGUGGAGGGUCAUUGGAAACUGGAGAACUUGAGUACAGAAGAGGAAAGCGGAAAUUCCACGUGUAGCGGUGAAAUGCGUAGAGAUGUGGAGGAACACCAGUGGCGAAGGCGGCUUUCUGGUCUGUAACUGACGCUGAGGCGCGAAAGCGUGGGGAGCAAACGGGGGAUUAGAUACCCUGGUAGUCCACGCCGUAAACGAUGAGUGCUAAGUGUUAGGGGGUUUCCGCCCCCUUAGUGCUGCAGCUAACGCAUUAAGCACUCCGGCCUGGGGAGUACGGCCGCAAGGCUG
This 376-nucleotide ribosomal RNA is filed under the name uncultured organism. RNAcentral's name for it is "partial 16S ribosomal RNA". It matches the Rfam family "Bacterial small subunit ribosomal RNA", at positions 527 to 896 of the family's 1533-position model. The record is from RNAcentral.